Ornithorhynchus anatinus (platypus) is the source of this 138-nucleotide non-coding RNA. The record is from Rfam. Lineage: Eukaryota; Metazoa; Chordata; Mammalia; Monotremata; Ornithorhynchidae.
CCCCUCUCAGGGUCACACCUACAGAGUUUCCAGUACUCUACCAGUCUUGACUAGGGGAGGGAGAGUCAAGCAGAGGCCUACCCAUUCCAUUUCUAGCUUGGACGAUGGCUAGCGAGUGGAAGGCAAUCUGCUACAAGU